This 464-nucleotide ribosomal RNA is filed under the name uncultured bacterium. RNAcentral's name for it is "partial 16S ribosomal RNA". It matches the Rfam family "Bacterial small subunit ribosomal RNA", at positions 28 to 506 of the family's 1533-position model. The record is from RNAcentral.
GACGAACGCUGGCGGCGUGCUUAACACAUGCAAGUCGAGCGAGGCCCCUCCUUCGGGAGGGUGUCCUAGCGGCGAACGGGUGAGUAACACGUGGGCAACCUGCCCUCAGCUCUGGGAUAACUCCGGGAAACCGGGGCUAAUACCGGAUACGACCUCCACGGGCAUCUGCGGAGGUGGAAAGUUUUUCGGCUGAGGAUGGGCCCGCGGCCUAUCAGCUAGUUGGUGGGGUAGUGGCCCACCAAGGCGACGACGGGUAGCCGGCCUGAGAGGGCGACCGGCCACACUGGGACUGAGACACGGCCCAGACUCCUACGGGAGGCAGCAGUGGGGAAUAUUGCGCAAUGGGCGAAAGCCUGACGCAGCGACGCCGCGUGAGGGACGAAGGCCUUCGGGUUGUAAACCUCUUUCAGCAGGGACGAAGCGAAAGUGACGGUACCUGCAGAAGAAGCACCGGCCAACUACGU